UACGUGCCAGCAGCCGCGGUAAUACGUAGGUGGCAAGCGUUGUCCGGAAUUAUUGGGCGUAAAGCGCGCGCAGGCGGUUUCUUAAGUCUGAUGUGAAAGCCCCCGGCUCAACCGGGGAGGGUCAUUGGAAACUGGGGAACUUGAGUGCAGAAGAGGAGAGUGGAAUUCCACGUGUAGCGGUGAAAUGCGUAGAGAUGUGGAGGAACACCAGUGGCGAAGGCGACUCUCUGGUCUGUAACUGACGCUGAGGCGCGAAAGCGUGGGGAGCGAACAGGAUUAGAUACCCUGGUAGUCCACGCCGUAAACGAUGAGUGCUAAGUGUUAGAGGGUUUCCGCCCUUUAGUGCUGCAGCAAACGCAUUAAGCACUCCGCCUGGGGAGUACGGUCGCAAGACUGAAACUCAAAGGAAUUGACGGGGGCCCGCACAAGCGGUGGAGCAUGUGGUUUAAUUCGAAGCAACGCGAAGAACCUUACCAGGUCUUGACAUCCUCUGACAACCCUAGAGAUAGGGCUUCCCCUUCGGGGGCAGAGUGACAGGUGGUGCAUGGUUGUCGUCAGCUCGUGUCGUGAGAUGUUGGGUUAAGUCCCGCAACGAGCGCAACCCUUGAUCUUAGUUGCCAGCAUUCAGUUGGGCACU
This 637-nucleotide ribosomal RNA is filed under the name Bacillus licheniformis. RNAcentral's name for it is "bacterial SSU rRNA". It matches the Rfam family "Bacterial small subunit ribosomal RNA", at positions 502 to 1139 of the family's 1533-position model. The record is from RNAcentral. Lineage: Bacteria; Bacillati; Bacillota; Bacilli; Caryophanales; Bacillaceae.